This 23-nucleotide non-coding RNA is filed under the name Cricetulus griseus (Chinese hamster). Lineage: Eukaryota; Metazoa; Chordata; Mammalia; Rodentia; Cricetidae. The record is from RNAcentral.
AAGACCACAGAAGAUGAACUCCA